RNAcentral lists this long non-coding RNA (1212 nucleotides) under Equus asinus (donkey). RNAcentral's name for it is "lncRNA (ENSEASG00005035081.1)". Lineage: Eukaryota; Metazoa; Chordata; Mammalia; Perissodactyla; Equidae. The record is from RNAcentral.
CCCGCUGAGUCAUCGGUUGGCAUCCAUUGGCCCUUUCAGGUUUCCCCUCAUCCAGCUGCCCAGCAUCGACAAUGUCCCUUUCAUUCUAGAAGGUCAUCGUUGUGCCAAACACUGAGGGGGCCUGGAAGUCACCUUUCCUCUACCUGACAGAGAACGUCCAUGCACCCAGAGACAUGCUCCUUUUCUUCUGACAAAGAAAGGGACAGUGUGGACCCUUGGACCUUGGCAUACGCCAGUCACAAGAGGUCAUGGGAAUGGGCAGAAAUGUGUAUUUCUCACAAUUUGCUGUAUGGUAAUCACAGGCUUCUUGACUUUCUGCGAGGACAUGUCCCUUCCUUUAACUGCAGCUGUGCACAUUCUUGCCCUGUGGGGACAGAUUCAAGACGUUUUGAGACACUGAAAGGCAUCCUGUGUCUCUCGAGGCAGAGGGCAGGGUGGGAAGGGCAUGGAGAACCUUCUGGGGUCUGAGAAAACUGAACGGGAGCCUUGCAGACUCAUUUAGCACAAUAGAAUGGAUUUUGAGGUCAAGAAAAUUAUCUUCUCCUUGGAUUUUGCCAGAAAAAUGUCGAUUACUGGUGAGAAGCCUCUUCUUUCUUGCUCCAGUGGAGUUUUUCCAAAAUGAUGUUAGAGAUGAAAUCAGCUAAUUUGCAUAUUUUUGGAGAGUAAAAAUUGAGUCAAGAAUCUUUCAUUGGGUUCACUUUAGCGACUUAAAAAAAAAUUCCACUCAACAGGAAUCCAAUGCUUCUUUCAUCUAAUUAUAGAAAGCAUCAUUAUUAUUUUAAAAAGUCUGCCAUUAUCCAUCACAUCCGAUUUUCAUGGAGGGUUCGGCUCUUCAAAGUAUUUGCUUUAUUCCCUGUCCAAGCUCAGAGGCUCUUGUGCUUUAAUUUGGGUAAAGCCCGUCCGUGGAACAGGUGCCCAGGGUCCCAUCACCAGCCAUCCCUGCCUCCUGUCCACUCUGUUCUUCCCUGUUGACCCUAAUCGCAUUUCCCGCAGGACCUUUUCCAGUCCCAGGAUUGAGUCUUCGAGUCGCGUCUCCACUUCUUGCCGUCCUGAGUUUCAGAAGACCGUCUGCCCUCUGAGUUUGCUGACAACUCUGAGACCGUCCACUCUCCAGUCACGUGCUCUCCCCUCCCUCAGCACUUGAGUGGGACGACCGACUGAAAACAUUCUCCAGGCAAGCAACUCUUUUGACUAAAGCAAAAUGUGAUCCAU